RNAcentral lists this long non-coding RNA (701 nucleotides) under Marmota monax (woodchuck). Lineage: Eukaryota; Metazoa; Chordata; Mammalia; Rodentia; Sciuridae. The record is from RNAcentral.
CCUGGCUCUGCGCGCCCAGACUGCACCCGGCAGGAGCGCGAGGUCGCUGCCGAGCCCUGCUGGUGUCCCCGCCCCUUGCUCCUGCAGAUAACGCUUAGAGACGCUUGGGCGCCCACCGUGGCAAGCUAACGAAGCAGCUCUCUUUCCGCCCCAAAGCUCUUGGUCUAACUUGGAGCGCUUUGCCUGCUACUUCUUCCAGGUUUGAAAGGAACCGAGGAGUCAGAGGCUCGCGUCCCCUGUAGUCAGCGCCCUCCUUGCUCAGGGACUCGCUGUGUCCGGGUCUCUCCUGAACAGGGCUGUGUGUUUGCAGUGGAGUGUGAAGACUGGAGGCGGCUGCAGAGGCCGGCCGUCCUGCUGGGCUCAGCUCCUGUAGGAAACUUCACACUGGAGAGGUAAGGGCGUUUCUAAAACUCAUCAUUCACUGGUCACACUGCUACUUUUUCCUAGCUCCCCUUUUCUUUUUAACUCUAAGUAAGAAUAAUAAAAAGCCAACUUGUUAAGAAUGGUCCAGCAUGGAGGAUAGGUGGGCUACUGAGAAAGCAGUGGCUGUGGAGAUGAGCGGGAUCUUGUUCUUGUAAGUGACUUUGUUGGUUUCACCACCUCCCCACAGGCGCGCUCUCCAUUGGGUUAAGUGUGCGCCUUUAGUAUAAGGGAGGAAAACCUCUGAAGUUGCUGGCUUUCUUGGAUGAGGUACAGAUUAG